GGCUAUGGCCGUGCCACCCUGAACAAACCCGAUCCCGUCUGAUCUCGGAAGCUAAGCAGGAUCGGGCCUGGUUAGUACUUAGAUGGGAGACCACCUAGGAAAACCAGGUGCUGUAGGCA
Molecule: ribosomal RNA, 119 nt
Filed under: Pteropus alecto (black flying fox)
Lineage: Eukaryota; Metazoa; Chordata; Mammalia; Chiroptera; Pteropodidae
Source: RNAcentral